Long non-coding RNA from Hemicordylus capensis (graceful crag lizard), 1008 nucleotides. RefSeq lists it as uncharacterized. NCBI's taxonomy places the organism in Eukaryota, Metazoa, Chordata, Lepidosauria, Squamata, Cordylidae. The transcript is spliced from 3 exons. The record is from RefSeq and is a predicted model, not a curated record.
GUGCUGAGCUCGUGGUGGCUGAAGUUUUAACUCAGACAAAGCGGAUGGCCAUGGAAGGAUCGGCAUCUGGCUUCCAUUAGCUUGGUUGCUUCAGGGGCAAAAUCCAAGGGUUGAAAGAGGAAGCCACUCCCACAGAGAGGAGAAACAGCCAGGCUUAAUCCAAGCCAAUACAUGCCCUGGGGACUUGAAUUAUGCUGAUAUUCAACUACUAAUAUACAACUACCAAAUGGAAGAAUUUCAUUAAGCAUUGAUGGCACCUACCUGAAGCGGGCGCUGAGCUGAGUUUGCACAAGCCACACAAUAAACCUAGGAGGCACCAAAGACACUCUUCACCCAGGAUGGUCUUAAUCCUAAGGGUGGCCCUGGCAAUAGCACUGUUCAUGAAUUCGUCAUGUGUAUAAAAGCGAAUGUGUGAAGGAGGAAGCAGGAUCAGAACUGCUGACUCCCACAUGUUAACUUAAACCUCUAAACAGAGCUUAUACAUGUACAGCUUCUGCAUGCACAGACGCCACUCCUCACCCCUUAUAGCUUGUACACACAGAGUCUUUGUUCACAAGUUCAACUGAACACAUGAAGGUCAGGGGCAGGCCGAGUAGAAACAUCUGGUUCCCCCCUGUGCUUUUAUUUCUACAGACUAGGAUGCAUGUACAGUCCUGCUGUGUGUAUGAUUCAGGAGGAUAACAUAAAGGAAGAUCUGUUUGUUAAUAAAGUCUUCAUUAGUUCUAGUUAGUCACAGAAUGUCUAAAGGUGGUGUGGGAAAUAUUAUUAGUUUGUGCAGUUCAGCAGAGAUCCCAUCACAUCAAUCACUGUAAUUAGGAGAUUAAAAUACCCAUCUGCUGCACUGCUGUUUUAAUCAGUCAGUAGGUAAAUGAGAAAGUACUGUCCUCUAGGAUGAAUAUAGGCAAUGUGUUUUAUUAUAUUGUUAAAUCAACCCUAACUCAUGAUAACAGACCUAAAGAAAAUACCCCCCACCAAAAAGAAAAAAUAGCUCUUUAACAUUAUACUAGA